GUAGUCCACGCCCUAAACGAUGGAUACUAGGCGUAAGGGGUAUCGACCCCCCUUGUGCCGCAGCUAACGCAUUAAGUAUCCCGCCUGGGGACUACGGCCGCAAGGUUGAAACUCAAAUGAAUUGACGGGGACCCGCACAAGCGGUGGAGCAUGUGGAUUAAUUCGAUACUAACCGAAGAACCUUACCCACUCUUGACAUUGAAGGCAAGACGUAGAGAUACGUCCCUCUCCCACAAGGAGACCUGAAAACAGAUGUUGCAUGGCUGUCGUCAGCUCGUGCCGUGAGGUGUACGGUUAAGUCCGCCAACGAGCGCAACCCUCGUCUUGUGUUACCAGCACGUAAUGGUGGGCACUCACAAGAGACCGCCGGUGUAAGCCGGA
RNAcentral lists this ribosomal RNA (381 nucleotides) under uncultured bacterium. RNAcentral's name for it is "bacterial SSU rRNA". It matches the Rfam family "Bacterial small subunit ribosomal RNA", at positions 790 to 1167 of the family's 1533-position model. The record is from RNAcentral.